Molecule: long non-coding RNA, 158 nt
Organism: Solanum stenotomum
Lineage: Eukaryota; Viridiplantae; Streptophyta; Magnoliopsida; Solanales; Solanaceae
Exons: 2
Source: RefSeq, a predicted model, not a curated record
AUGAAGCACUGGGCGCAGUCUCAGAUUUGUCCGUCUCCAUUGGCUCAGCAGCAGGUGGUACUUCACUGCCAGCACUGGCACCCUCAGUUGCAUUUCCAGUAUUAGGACUCUCUGCACUCGGAGGUUGUUGCUCACCUCCUUGAGGAGGUUGAGGUGAC